RNAcentral lists this unclassified non-coding RNA (161 nucleotides) under uncultured Leotiomycetes. Its description in RNAcentral is "sequence contains ITS1". Lineage: Eukaryota; Fungi; Ascomycota; Leotiomycetes. The record is from RNAcentral.
CAGAGAACAUGCCCUUUGGGGCGUAUCUCCCACCCUAUGUCUACAAUACCAUUGUUGCUUUGGCAGGCCUGACUUGUGACUGCUGGCUUUGUAGCUAGCCUGUGCUUGCCAGAGGACCCCAAAUUCUCUUCUCUUGUUGUCCGAGUACCAUAUAAUAAUUA